This 198-nucleotide unclassified non-coding RNA is filed under the name uncultured fungus. RNAcentral describes it as "sequence contains ITS1". Lineage: Eukaryota; Fungi. The record is from RNAcentral.
UUAAAUAUUUCUUAUUUACACUCAGACCACCUAAAUUACAGCAAGUUUAGGGUCUCUGGCGAGGGCCUUGGGCGUGCCCCAAGACUCGCCAAAGCAACAAAGAACGUUUACAGUGGGUAAAGAGUUGGGGGCGGUUGGCCCCCCUGGAGCCAGGCUCCACUCUCGGUAAUGAUCCUUCCGCAGGUUCACCUACGGAAA